ACCUGAUCCCAUCCCGAACUCAGAA
RNAcentral lists this ribosomal RNA (25 nucleotides) under Shewanella sp. cp20. The record is from RNAcentral. Lineage: Bacteria; Pseudomonadati; Pseudomonadota; Gammaproteobacteria; Alteromonadales; Shewanellaceae.